UGGUGUGUGUUAGUGUGUGUGUGUUAGUGUGUGUGACUCCUGUAUUACUGUGUUCUCCAGAUAUACUGGUGUGUAUAGGGGCUGGUCUGGUGGUGGUGUGUGUAUAUGUGUGUGUGUGUUAAUGUAUGUGUUUUAGUGUGUGUGUGUGUGUGUGACUCCUGUAUUACUGUGUUCUCCAGAUGUAUUGGUUUCUAUGGGGGCUGGUCUGGUGGUGGUGUGUGUUAAUGUGUGUGUGUUAGUGUGUGUGACUCCUGUAUUACUGUGUUCUCCAGAUGUACUGGUUUCUAUGGGGGCUGGUCUGGUGGUGGUUUGUCUGUUGGUUCUCCUUCUCCUCAUAUUCCUCAGACAAAGGAACAGAUCAAAGACACAUACAGGUGCGUGCACACUGUCCGCUGGCUAGAGCUACAAAGAGGCCGUCUCUCAUUUCCAUUUCCAACGAGAGCCAGCGAAUCACGGCGACAGUGGGCGGAGCUACUCUCUGAGACAAAAUCUCCCAGCAACAGUUGAGAUGGGUUCAACUUUAUGCUAAUUUCCAGCUAGCGGGCAGUGACGGAGUUUGGCGACUACCAAUGGCAGGGCAGAUGUUCUCUUACCCUUCUCUUACUUACCUGCUAGCUAGAAACUCACAAGC
Esox lucius (northern pike) is the source of this 631-nucleotide long non-coding RNA. NCBI's taxonomy places the organism in Eukaryota, Metazoa, Chordata, Actinopteri, Esociformes, Esocidae. The record is from Ensembl.